Molecule: long non-coding RNA, 246 nt
Filed under: Ananas comosus (pineapple)
Lineage: Eukaryota; Viridiplantae; Streptophyta; Magnoliopsida; Poales; Bromeliaceae
Description: long non-coding RNA (ACOM_LNC024735)
Source: RNAcentral
UAAUAUGUAUAAUUUUAGAUUCGGAUUUUGUAAAUUACUAUAAUCAAGUCUCACUAUCUAGAUUAGUUGACUAAAUAUUCAUAUAUGUUACUGAUGUGAAAGUAAUAUGACAUUUUAAUUAUUAUCGUGUAAUCAAUCACACCGCUGUUAUAUUAUUUCAUAUUAGCGACAAAUCCAUAUUUAAUUAGCCAAUGAAAUUGUAUGACUUAGCUGCAAUAAUUCAAAAAAAUCGAACUAGAUAUUAUA